GAACGACUCUCGGCAACGGAUAUCUCGGCUCUCGCAUCGAUGAAAAACGUAGCGAAAUGCGAUACUUGGUGUGAAUUGCAGAAUCCCGUGAACCAUCGAGUCUUUGAACGCAAGUUGCGCCCGAAGCCUUCGGGCCGAGGGCACGUCUGCCUGGGCGUCACGCA
Molecule: ribosomal RNA, 164 nt
Filed under: Koenigia campanulata var. fulvida
Lineage: Eukaryota; Viridiplantae; Streptophyta; Magnoliopsida; Caryophyllales; Polygonaceae
Description: 5.8S ribosomal RNA
Rfam family: 5.8S ribosomal RNA
About the family: 5.8S ribosomal RNA (5.8S rRNA) is a component of the large subunit of the eukaryotic ribosome. It is transcribed by RNA polymerase I as part of the 45S precursor that also contains 18S and 28S rRNA.
Source: RNAcentral